AUGGUCGUGGAUGCUUUGGCCUCCAUUCUAGAUAAGGCAAAAGCCGCUGGACACAUCCGAGGGAUUACCCCCCACCUCUCUAGGGGCUCGGGCAUCUCCAUCCUCCAGUAUGCUGACGACACGAUCAUCAUGAUCGAAGGCUCGGAGAUGGACAUCGCCAACCUCAAGUUCCUCCUUCUUUGCUUCCAACAGAUGUCAGGCCUCAAGAUCAACUUCGAUAAGAGCGAUGUUAUGGUGAUGGGAUAUUCCCCCUCUGAGUCUGUGGCCAUUACCAACAGACUUAAUUGCCGCCUGGGCUCUUUCCCCACUACCUACCUUGGGACGCCCAUUAGUGAGUCGCGUCUCUCUGUCGCGGACCUGCGGCCCUCCGUGACCAAGCUUCAGUCCCGGUGCGAGCCCUGGCAGGGGAGGUGGCUCUCUAAGGCGGCCCGGACUAUUCUUAUCAACUCAUCCCUCUCCAGCCUCCUCUUGUUUCUUAUGAGUUUCUACAGCCUCCAUGAAUCUCUCCAUAAGGAGAUCGCCAAAAUUCAGUCCCGAUUCUACUGGGCUGGCGAGCAUGGCAAGUAG
This 567-nucleotide ribosomal RNA is filed under the name Triticum aestivum (bread wheat). Its description in RNAcentral is "partial small subunit ribosomal RNA". Lineage: Eukaryota; Viridiplantae; Streptophyta; Magnoliopsida; Poales; Poaceae. The record is from RNAcentral.